GGGCUUCCGGUGGCGCGUGCGCGGCGGAGCGGAGGUGGGAGAGGUGCGUGGGGCGGCCGGGUCGCGAGGGGUCUCUUUGCGGUGCCGGGGCCCCUCUGCGGCCCGGCGUGGGAAGCCCGUGGCCGGCGGAGACUGCUCGGAGCUGGGCGGGGAGCGCCGCGGCAGUCCGGCCGCAGGCAGCCAUCCCCUGCGGUGGCCGGCAUCCCCUCGGGACUCCUGGAGGCCUGGCGGCUCCCGAUCCUCGUCUGCGGCAGCCGCCUGAGAGAGCAGCGCGGCCGUAGCCGGGGGCCGGAGAGCGCUGGUGGGUGCAGGUGGAUGAGUCGUGCAGGGCAACGGAGGAGAGCCCAGGGGAGCGCUGGAAGAAGGGCGCUAAGCGAUGAGCCGAGCGUGAUCUGGGCCCUGGAGUCGAGAGGAAAGGACUGAAAUGCUCGAGACGCUUUGCUGUUUGGUGCAGAGGCAAUGAACGGUGCUGCUGGGGCUGCGAGGGGGAAAGGUGCAGAGGAAUAGAAGCUCUGUGGAUGCAGCCAAGUUACGGUUUCUGGAUGGUAUUAAUCGAGAAGAGUAAUUCAGAUAAUGCUGCUGCCCAGCGACCAGAGUUGGGUACUGAGCCCGGGAGCCGCGCACGCGCGGUGGCGUCCCUGUGAUCCCCAUU
Molecule: non-coding RNA, 652 nt
Organism: Phalacrocorax carbo (great cormorant)
Lineage: Eukaryota; Metazoa; Chordata; Aves; Suliformes; Phalacrocoracidae
Source: RefSeq, a predicted model, not a curated record